UGGGGAAUAUUGGACAAUGGGCGAAAGCCUGAUCCAGCCAUGCCGCGUGUGUGAAGAAGGUCUUCGGAUUGUAAAGCACUUUAAGUUGGGAGGAAGGGCAGUAAGCGAAUACCUUGCUGUUUUGACGUUACCGACAGAAUAAGCACCGGCUAACUCUGUGCCAGCAGCCGCGGUAAUACAGAGGGUGCAAGCGUUAAUCGGAAUUACUGGGCGUAAAGCGCGCGUAGGUGGUUCGUUAGGUUGACUGUGAAAGCCCCGGGCUCAACCUGGGAACUGCAUCCAAAACUGGCGAGCUAGAGUAGGGCAGAGGGUGGUGGAAUUUCCUGUGUAGCGGUGAAAUGCGUAGAUAUAGGAAGGAACACCAGUGGCGAAGGCGACCAACUUGGCUCAUACUGACACUGAGGUGCGAAAGCGUGGGGAGCAAACAGG
This 429-nucleotide ribosomal RNA is filed under the name Pseudomonadota bacterium. Its description in RNAcentral is "Proteobacteria bacterium partial 16S ribosomal RNA". It matches the Rfam family "Bacterial small subunit ribosomal RNA", at positions 355 to 776 of the family's 1533-position model. Lineage: Bacteria; Pseudomonadati; Pseudomonadota. The record is from RNAcentral.